CAAAAACAUCGCCUCCAGCAAAAAUCAAUGUAUUGGAGGUCUUGCCUGCCCAGUGACUAAGUUAAACGGCCGCGGUAUUCUGACCGUGCAAAGGUAGCGCAAUCACUUGUCUUUUAAAUGAAGACCUGUAUGAAUGGUGGAACGAGGGCUUAACUGUCUCCCCCCUCUAGUCAAUGAAAUUGAUCUAUCCGUGCAGAAGCGGGUAUAAUUAUACAAGACGAGAAGACCCUUUGGAGCUUAAGAUUAAAGAUCAACUAUGUCAAAAGUCCUAAAAAAGAAACUAAACUAAAUAGAACUGGUUUCAACCUUCGGUUGGGGCGACCACGGGAGAAAACAAAGCUCCCAUGUGGAUAGGGACUAACCCUAAAACUAAGAAAGACAUCUCUAAGGCACAGAACAUCUGACCAUAAAGAUCCGGCUAAAUGCCGACCAACGGACCAAGUUACCCUAGGGAUAACAGCGCAAUCCCCUUCCAGAGUCCAUAUCGACAAGGGGGUUUACGACCUCGAUGUUGGAUCAGGACAUCCUAAUGGUGCAGCCGCUAUUAAGGGUUC
RNAcentral lists this ribosomal RNA (554 nucleotides) under Dolichancistrus carnegiei. RNAcentral describes it as "partial 16S ribosomal RNA". It matches the Rfam family "Bacterial large subunit ribosomal RNA", at positions 1808 to 2574 of the family's 2925-position model. The record is from RNAcentral. Lineage: Eukaryota; Metazoa; Chordata; Actinopteri; Siluriformes; Loricariidae.